UGCUACCUACGGGGCGCAGCAGUAGGGAAUCUUCCACAAUGGGCGAAAGCCUGAUGGAGCAACGCCGCGUGGGUGAAGAAGGUCUUCGGAUCGUAAAACCCUGUUGUUAGAGAAGAAAGUGCGUGAGAGUAACUGUUCACGUUUCGACGGUAUCUAACCAGAAAGCCACGGCUAACUACGUGCCAGCAGCCGCGGUAAUACGUAGGCGGCAAGCGUUAUCCGGAUUUAUUGGGCGUAAAGAGAACGCAGACGGUCUUUUAAGUCUGAUGUGAAAGCCUUCGGCUUAACCGGAG
This 293-nucleotide ribosomal RNA is filed under the name uncultured bacterium. RNAcentral's name for it is "partial 16S ribosomal RNA". It matches the Rfam family "Bacterial small subunit ribosomal RNA", at positions 333 to 618 of the family's 1533-position model. The record is from RNAcentral.